UCCAUCCAGAACCUGAGUGCUGGGGAGCAGGGACUUUGCACCCUGUUGUCCCAUUCACUUUCAGACCCACUUUAUUCCAAUUACAAAAGGAAAACCGGUAUUUAAAUCCUUUUCCCAUUUUACAGGCUCUGGGAAGGCCAGACAGGAACAGCAGGGGCAACUUGUGUUGAAUUCGCAGCAACUUUUCCCCCAAAAUGUUCUUCACAGCAGCACUAAAUUAGCACUAAAUUAGCUUUCCCUUAAUCUAGCAACAAGUAAAGAAGCUUUCUGCAAAAAGAAAUAUAUAUGAAUAAAUAAAUCAAUCAAAACAUCAGAGCUCUGCUUUGAGUUCAGGGCUGACUUCUCCAUCUUGCCCAAAUGACUUAGGAGCACAAGCCCUCCUAGUAACAGAUUUUCAUAGACAUUUACAUGCUGAGAUAUCCCGGACCGAUGGAGUGUCCCCAUCUUGCUGUGGCCCUCCCUGCCACCUUCACCACAACAGCAGAUGCCUGCAGGUGCUCCAGCUGCAAGGUUUCCGUGGCGCUGCAGCCGCGACCUUGGGUCUUUAUUGGCUCUCCGAAUGGACCCUUUAUAGACUCCAGAUGGAAAGUAUAAAAUUAAUAACCCCUGGCUGGCAAACACCCAUAUGUUUUCCACCUUCUCCUGAGAUACAAUUUGUUUAUGGUGACAUUUAUUUAAUGCAAAUUAACAUAUAAAUGAAGAUGCAUGGCUCUUCCCAGAGACCUGAGGAAACUGGUUUGUGUGGUGCUAGAGGUGCACGGCCACAUCAACCACCCACCAGAAAGGCUCCUUUGGAAUUACCUGGAGCCUUUUUGAUUCUCUCCAGCCAGGAGGAAUUCCACCAGCCUCCCUCCAGGCCCAUUUUCUUUAACAAUAUAUUCCAGGCUGACCCUGGAGGUGCUAAUUGCUCUUUAUCUAAGACAACUGUUUCUCCCACCCCACCAGUGCUUUUGGUGGUCGAAGGAAUACAAUGCAUUAUCAGGAAACGAGAUACAUGUGUACAAAGGGUAUUGACUGGCGGGAGGUUAAAGAUACAGCACAAAGAGAGGCAGCCUUACAGGGGUACCCUGUUAACUAGUGAUGGAUGAGCCACUGGAAGAAGAAAGCUCUCCAAGGUUGGGCUGAUAAGACCCCAGCCACUUGGUGCCUCCCCAAGGUGCCACGACCAGGACCAACCUCUACACCUAUCCCUGGCUCCGGCCUCCUUCUCCUCCUUUUCUUCCUCCUCCUCCCAGCAGACAACCCAGGACAGGCCAAACUUGGCACGGAAAACCCUUCCACAAAGCCACCCCUGCGUCCCGUUUGUCCGCCAACGACCUUAGUUAAACCGGCGCAAGUUUCUUAAUUCCACGCCAGCCUAAGCCUUUAAAAACUGUUGACUUUCCAGAAAAGCAGGAAGUGGGUAAACACAGCGAUUGGCUGCUCUUCCUGCUGACCACAUGUCACCAGAAUGCAGGGGAAAAAAAAAAAUUCUAUUAGGCUUUUAUUUAACAUGAAUUUGAAUGUAUUCCAGGUCACUGAUCACAUAAGCGAUCACGAUACGGGUAAUAAAGAAGUUCCUACCAUACCUUUAUUUGCUUUCUCCCUGUAAUAAAUCUUUAUCACACACUGGGCUGAUUGCAACAGUAUCACUUCCUUUUUUUUUUUAUUUUUUUUUUCCCUCCUGUUUUAUAGGGCAGCAAAAAGCCAACUGGGCCCAUCUGCAAGCACACCCAAUGGCGCUGGGAUGGGAUGGCAAACAAAAGGCAGCCAGGGCAGCCACACUGCUGCCUUGAAGAACCAAGGGUUGACUUCCCUGGGUGCAGACCCCAACCUUCACAUGCUGCAAAACCCCAUGCAUGAUCCUUUGUGACUGCAGGAAAAGGGGGAAUCGUAGCGUGGCACUGAGGGACGUGGUUAGUUGGAUAGUGGGUGCAGUGUGGACGGGUUGAUGGUUGGACUUGGGGAUCCUUGUGGUCUUUUCCAACCUGCGUGAUUCCAUGACUGUGUCAUAGUAGGAAAUAUCAACCUGUGUGCUUUCUUAGUAAGUGAUCAUUAAGACGGUUUAAUAAACGAUCCAAGUGACAGCCCUAUGCUAGAACAGCCUCGAAUCAAACCAUUCUGCACAGGGAAGAAUUUUUGCUCCCUGUAAACCAAAAGUAAUGGGUCAAAGGGAAAUGAAUCCUGAGCAGUUCCCUGCACUUCUGAGCAUUUGGUGUUCUGGACCCCAUUCUCCCUCGUACCCUCAUGCUUAAUCCUCCUCAUUUGAAUGAUUUGCAUCCAAAUCUCUCCAUUUUUGUCCUUUCAUUCUCGAGCACACGAUGUUAGUUCCCGCUAAUACAAGGGCAUCAAUCGCCUUCAUCUUCUCCUAUUUAAUGAUAUUUAUUCAUCAUCGCAUGGGAGAGAAAUUGGCUGCAGCUCAAUUUGGCAAAAUAAAUUGGGACCAGUUCAAGCGUAAUCUCGCUAAACACACAGAUUUUAAUCCCCCCCCCCAAGUGAAGCACACUGCAUCUGCAAUGGAUGUCCUUGGUUCAAGAUCCAGAUGCUGAUUUCAAACUCCAGAAUCUCCCACUGCUUGCAGAGCUCACUUUGUGAGGACCAGGGACUACGUAAAUUCAGAACAGCUCCAGCACAGCUUUGCUCCUGUUGUCCUUAAUUGCUUGAAUACUGAGCAGGUUGAUAUUGUGAUUAUUUGUAGACAUUUAUACCAUCCCAGGCCUUCUUCUUUAUAACUUUAUUUCAUUUUCUGCUGUUUACUCACAACUACCUUUAUCACCGCACGCUGAUAGUCUGUUCUUUAUUGCCCCGGUGUGAUUGCAAGGAGUUUGAGCACAACCCAAUAACACACAUAUAUAAAUAUUUGAACAGGAAAAGAAAGUCUGUCUCAUUCAGGCUAUGGAAGGAGGGAAAAAUGAAAACAAAUAAUACCGCUAGAGGGACCUUCACACUGAACCACGGUGGAGGAGAGGUCACACACAGCCUCCACGAGUGGCACCGAUGGGACCCGCGGUGUCGGCAUGGAGCUUGCAAGCAGCAGCACCGCAUGCAUGCAGGGCUCGUUGUUUGCCGAGGAUCACCCGAAUAAUUCCACUUGAGCACAACAAACGUGUUUUGUUUUUGCAGUUAAAGAGCUGAGUCCUUUUAAUUAGUUGACUCGGGCCUUUCUGCAUGCGGUCCCCACGCACUGUGGCUGGUUCAAAGAGGAGCCUCUCUGUGUGUUUUCGCUUUUCUUCUCUUUUCUUUCUCCCCUUUAACACUGCGUGUGAAUAGUUGAAGACGGGAGCGAAAGACAUUGGACUUAGAAAGUAAAAUCUCCAGGAAGCAAAAAUGGAGGCAAACACAGGAGCUAAUUUAGGCAGGCAUAGCUGGUGUUGUUUGUGGUUGUCCCUGACAGCGCUGCUGACUCUAAAGCACCUGUGUUUGCUCACUAGCUUUCCCCAAUCUGCUAGAAAAUGGCCCUAGCAUGUCACAUGGCAGCGAGAUAGUCCGAGCGCCAUGGGAAUAAAAAAGCCUGAGCUUUUAACGGAGUUAAUCAUUAAUGCGCCUUUUCUUUGUCCCAUUCAGGAGUGCUGACAAGCGCUUUGAUAUUUCAUAUUUGCCAUCAGGUCAGCGGCAGUCAUACCCAGGUACUAAUGAGCGCCCUGGCUCACGCCUCCCUGUUUCAUGGCCCGCCUGAAGAUUUCGUCCCACUUGCCCUCAACCACAGCUACACGCAUAUAUAUCCCUGUCUAUAUGUGUGUGCAUGUCCCUGCUUCCAUGUCUGAAUGCAUCCCUGCAUAUAUGCACAUAGGCAUCCCUGUGUGCACACCCGAGCAACACCCAUGGGUGCAGCGCAUGCUCAGGAGAUCCCAGUUCAGGCACUUUUAUCCCCUCCUGUAGACAAAACCCAGGGCUCCCAGCUCCAGAUCCAAGCCCUGUGCUCCAUAUUGGGCAUCUCAAUGCAAUGCUUUGUAUCCACGAGCAGCUGUCAAUGCGUGCGCGCACUUCGGGGUUGAGCAAAUAAUCCCCAGUGAAUAAUGUAUGUGCGGGGAGGAAUGCAGGCUGCACUACUCGCCCCCAGUCCUGGCUGCCAGCAGCGUGUUUUCUGCAUCGUGCUUCUUCUCCCAGUUUGUUUGCCCUGAUGCACCCAGGUUUCCCUGUUCAUUGCAGGGGAAUUAGACUAGGUGACCUUUGAAGGUUUCUUCCAACUCCAACAAUUCUAUGAUUCUUUGGUUCUAUGGUUCUGAUUCCAUGAUUCUAUGGGUCUGUGAGCCUAUGGUUCUACGAUUCCAUGAUUCUAUGAUUCUACGGUUCUAUGAUUCUAUGAUUCUAGGGGUCUAUGAAUCCAUGAUUCUAGGGGUCUAUGAUUCUGUGGGUCUAUGAUUCUGUGGAUCUAUGAUUCCAUGAUUCCAGGGGUCUAUGUUACUAUGAUCCUAUGAUGCCACGAUUCUAUGAUUCUAUGUGUCCAUGGUUCUAUGACUCUAGAUGCACUGCUUGGGAACCAGUUGUAUGAAGGCAUGAUUACAAAGGAGACUGAGAAUGCUCGUCCUCCCUAAGAGCAGCAAGGCACUGCUAUUCUGUUGUCUGGCUUGGCCAAUAAAUGCAGUUGUUUGUGCCAGCACUGAGUAGAAAAACCUAUCCCUCAGCGUAAAGGCCAGGCAGGUCAGCAGGCCUCCAUAAAGCUGCUGUGCAAAGAUGAUUUGUGCUGGCUUCAACGAGAAUCACAGUCAAACUUCAAGGUGCUUGAACCUUUCCCUUGACUCGGGCAGAGACUGACAGCACAUUUCACUCCUCCUCGCCGGGGUUGGAUGCUGACAGAAUUGCAUCAGUGAGCUCACCGAGGGGACCUCCUGUCUGUGUUCAUGUAGUGUGGGGAGGAAAACAUGGCUGGAGCUGCCGAUGCUGCCAGCACAGCAGGGAGGUGCAGCCAGGCAUCGCAGAAGGUUGCACAAACCUGGGCUUCCUUCAGCAUCCCUCUGGGUUGGAAGUGUGUGCAGCGUGAAAUUAAUGAGCUAUUCAUAGAACCAUCAUAGAGUCAUAGAAUCAUGAAGGUGGAAAAGAUAACCGAGUCCAACCACAGCUCACCCCCACCGUGCCCACUGACCACGUCCUGCAGUGCCACAUCCCCACAGCUUUGGGAUGCCUCCAGGGACGGUGACCCCACCACUCCCUGGGCAGCUGUGCCACUGCCUCACCGCUCUUUCAGGAAAUAAACUGUUCCUAUCAGCCAACCUGAAUUCAGCCCUAAGCUUUUCAGUCUCCUUUUGCUGAGAUAUGGUGACUGAGCCACUUGGCUCCAUACUCCUCUUAGAUUAAAGAGGGAACUGCCAAAAAUGUCACAGAUUUCAGAGGCCGGCUAGUGGUGACUCACCCAGAUAACGCUCUCAAGGACGUAUAGGGAGCCCGGAACCGUAGUAUCAUGCGACAGAGCCACAUCUGGAGAAAUGGCCAAGGUCACCCCACCACUGGCUCGGGCCCCCACAGUGCCAGGUGAGGAAAAUCCUGCUCCGUAAAACUCACACUGGACAGAGAGGCAGAAGGGGAAGCGGGAGAAGGUUCGACCCCGGUUUGCACACAGAGAUAGGCCAGGAUUAGUCCCUUUAGUCUCUUUUAGCUCAUGCUGGCCACAAAGCUCUAAUCUAAGAGGAGAACUCCUGAGGCUGUGAUUGGACCUGGAAGUCAAUUUGCUGCGAGCAUCCUAUGCAGAGUUGAAGCCAGCCAAAAAGGAAGCCUUCCUGGAAAAAUAACAAAGGAUCCAUCCCGGAGAAGCAUCUUCUCAAAUAUCCUCGAGGCAGAGAUAGCACUUCUGUCCGCUCCCGAGUCUACUGAAGCGUAACGCAGCCAGGCAAGGGAGAGCCUCGAUCUCUGUAUUGCUUGUGCAACGGUGUGAGUUUAAAACCUGUCGGAACAUGGUCCUGCCCCAGCUGUUCUUGCACUGACCGUGCAGGCAGAUGGCUGGCAGCAGCAAAGCUCCGGCUGCAGAAAUCCGUAAGGAUCCCCACCGACCGCUUUUGCAUACAAUCCUGCCGGGGCCGCCUGCCCGCACCGCUCGGCAGCAGAAACCUUCGGGGCGGUUCGGGGCAGGAGACGUCCCUUUGGCAAGCGGGGCAGCGCGGCUCUCCUGCCCGACGUGCCAUUCCCUUGCGCUUUGAUGUCCGCUGCCUUUGAGCCAUCUCUGCAUGUCAUUAGGGGCCCGGACAAUUAAAGAAGUGCCUUCGCACCCCCCCUCUCCCAACCCCUCCCCGCAGCGGAGGGGAAGUCGGAAAAAAAUAAAUACAUCGGCCAACACGGCGAGCCGAUGCGGGGCUGAGUUCGCCUUCGGAUCGCGGCCGUGAGAUGGGAAAGUCGCCCGCAGGGGAGCGGGAGGAGCCGCGACGGUGACAGCGACAGUGACUGCCGGUCCGGCCGCUCGCCGCCGGCUUUGGUGGCGGAUUGGGUGGGGAGUCCUUCUGCCGCCCGGGUACGCGGCUCCGUCCUCGGGGCGGUCGGAUGCCGCUCGGUCUCCCCGAAAGUCAAAUAAUAAAAAAAAAAAAAAUAGAAAUUUAAAAUAAUAAUAAUAAUUAAAAAAUCGAUCUGUGGGAAUGAAGGGCGGAAGCGGAGCUUAACGCGCUGCUCUUUCUGAGGGGCUGGUAGAGGGGAAAUGCGGCUGGGAGGGUUCGGAGGAGGCUGGGGAUGCUCGGGUGUAGAAAUAGGCUAUCUAUCUAUCUACCUGUAUCUAUUAAUAGCGAUACCAUACAAAUAACGAGUAGAGGAAGGUCGCGGAGUGCAGCCCCGCUCCCGCCGGGCUGGGGCUGCCCGUGGCCGGGAGGUGAGCCUCUCCCGGGCCGUUCCCACGCGUGUCCCCUCCCCGCACGGCGACACGAGUUCGGUGGCAGGUCAUUGGCGAGUGCUGUCCCCGAGAGCCCGUCACUGCCGGGCACCCGCUCGGUCGGAAGCAGGGACCUGGCACGGGGACGGGGACACGCGUGCACAACCCGCCCCCGGUCUCCGUGGGCCUCGAGAGACGUCUCCUUCCCGAGUCCCCGCGUGUGCGAUGCCACUCGUGUUCGUGCCCAGCGGCCGAGCCCCGGCCCCGUUAAACGCUCGUUUUCCUCUUUUUCACCGUGUUGCCAACGAGAAAAUGAGGAUGGGGUCUUUUUCCCUCCUGUUCUUGCCCACGCGGGGACGGGGCACUGCCUGUGGUACCGGCAGCGGCGCUUCCCCGUGACACGGACACGGGAGAAAUGCCGCUCGGAGAGAGGAACGAAAAAGCGCCGCGGAGCCGGGGAGGACAACGGAAUAACGCGCAAAAAGAGGGGGGAAACAAAAAAAGGAAAGGAAAACAAACAAACAAACAACAACAAAAUAAAGGAAAGAAAAGCAGGAAGAAGCGCGCGGCUCCUGGGGCAGCGGCGAGGCGCGGCGAGUCGGCUACCGCGCAGCCCCGUUCCUUCUCCGACGGCCCCACAACGACUCGAGCCCUCGGCAACGAGCUGUGGGGCUGCGGCCAGCCGCACCCCGCGCCCCGACCCGUCCCCACCCCGCUCCCGCGCGGGAAUCCCCCUCGGACCCCAAAUCCCCCUCCUCAGCCCCGGCUCCUCCCGGCCCCGCGCUCCCACGGCGACGCGGAGAGGCGGGGAGCGACGGCACCGGUCCGUAACGCACCCCAAAACCGAGACGGAGCCGCCGUCCC
This 7630-nucleotide long non-coding RNA is filed under the name Gallus gallus (chicken). Its description in RNAcentral is "lncRNA (ENSGALG00010019775.1)". Lineage: Eukaryota; Metazoa; Chordata; Aves; Galliformes; Phasianidae. The record is from RNAcentral.